Non-coding RNA from Pelobates cultripes (western spadefoot toad), 266 nucleotides. The record is from the annotation of a GenBank genome assembly. NCBI's taxonomy places the organism in Eukaryota, Metazoa, Chordata, Amphibia, Anura, Pelobatidae.
CUGCAGUCUUACAUCCUAGCACUUUAACAAUGUGAAGAGUUUUUCUUAGAUUUCUCUUUCUCUUUUAAAGGUCAUAUCGAAAAAGAAAAUCCCUAACACCACAUAUUCAUUCUGGCAUGUUAUAUAAUCCCACAUAAAUGCCUGCUUUUGUGUGUAAUCUAAAUCUAUCUAUCUACUAUCCAUCCAUUCGUCCAACCAUCCAUAUAUCCAUCCAUCCAUGCUUUCAGUUGUUUACAUGUAUUCAUUAAAUGUAUGUUUAUGUUGUG